This 390-nucleotide long non-coding RNA is filed under the name Lepisosteus oculatus (spotted gar). RNAcentral's name for it is "lncRNA (ENSLOCG00000022213.1)". The record is from RNAcentral. Lineage: Eukaryota; Metazoa; Chordata; Actinopteri; Semionotiformes; Lepisosteidae.
AUGCUCUUCAUUAGGAAAAGCUCCAGCGUGUGGGAUUCACGACCGAAGAAGAAGAAAGAGACAGAACUGUACUUUUUUUCCGGUUUCCGAAGCAGACUGAAGACGUUUUUUUUCACGUUUCCUUCUUACAUUGAUUUUCCAGCUCCACCUUCCAAAUCCGUGACGGCUCGUAAGGUGAAACACUGGACACCCAUUGAAUCAACGUAGAAAAUCGCAGAGCCCUGUACUUCUGGCGUAUGUUAAAAUUCCAUAAUGGACCAAGUUCUGGAAAGGUAAGGCUAGUGACAGAUUUCUCUCAACUCUCAGGGAAGCCGGCUCAAUCCCCCACCUUCUCAGAAAAAAAAAAAGUCCACCACAGAGGUAUUAGUGAAAAAUCUUCAGUUCCUCUUC